RNAcentral lists this long non-coding RNA (728 nucleotides) under Gossypium barbadense (sea-island cotton). Its description in RNAcentral is "long non-coding RNA (GBAR_LNC005936)". The record is from RNAcentral. Lineage: Eukaryota; Viridiplantae; Streptophyta; Magnoliopsida; Malvales; Malvaceae.
GUAGAAGGCCUAUUUCGCCCGGGCUUUUAAACUUCUGUAAAAACCAAAAUAAAAAUAACAGUCCAAUAUAGAUUUUGAAGCCCAAGUUUUAAUGCCGGCCCAAAAUAUAGCUUUGGCCAAAAUUAAACAGGCUCAAUACAUUGACCCAAAAUUCCAGGCCUGAUUGUUAGCCCAAUUACAUUAAACAGUCAGCUAACCUAGGAAUCCCUAGGUUACCCACGCCGCAACCCCCACGUUUAGUGCCUCUCCACCACACAGUCGGCAUAUCAAGCACGACCCUUAGCUCGUUCGUUGCUCGCCCACGUCCUUUCACGUCUCCACGACCUGCGAUUUGAGCAAGAAAACAAUAGGAAAACUACUUAUAUUCGGCUAUAAAGCCUCCAAAUUUUUCAUUGUAAAGGGCUGGUAUUUUGGACCUUUUUUUUUUAGAAAAAUUGAAGAUAGAGAUAAUAUCAAACACAUACAGAAAGAUAUAGCAACCAUAUUUGUUUGAGGUGAUUUAAAAUUUCAUUUUCUUUCAAUUUUAUUUCCAUUUUCUUUGAUUUUUUUAUCUACUGUAUAUAAGUAAUAAGAGAAAGGGGAGGCAGCUCACCGGAGUUACCGUAGGAGAACCUUCGCUAGUUGCGAAUGGAGAGCUUGGGCAUUAGCCUUUCGGCUGAAGAGUAAAGGGAGAGUGAGGGAGAUGGAAAGCAUAAAGCAUUUAGGUUUUUUUAAACAAAAAAUAAAAG